RNAcentral lists this ribosomal RNA (254 nucleotides) under uncultured bacterium. RNAcentral describes it as "partial 16S ribosomal RNA". It matches the Rfam family "Bacterial small subunit ribosomal RNA", at positions 524 to 776 of the family's 1533-position model. The record is from RNAcentral.
UACGGAGGGGGCUAGCGUUAUCCGGAAUCACUGGGUUUAAAGGGUGCGUAGGCGGUGGGGUAAGUCAGUUGUGAAAUGCCCCGGCUUAACCGGCGGAAGUGCGAUUGAUACUGCAUCACUUGAAUCGGGAUGAGGCUGGCGGAAUGUGGUAUGUAGCGGUGAAAUGCUUAGAUAUGCCAUAGAACACCAAUUGCGAAGGCAGCUUGCUGGUCCCGUAUUGACGCUGAGGCACGAAAGCGUGGGGAGCAAACAGG